Molecule: long non-coding RNA, 234 nt
Filed under: Nicotiana benthamiana
Lineage: Eukaryota; Viridiplantae; Streptophyta; Magnoliopsida; Solanales; Solanaceae
Description: long non-coding RNA (NBEN_LNC006022)
Source: RNAcentral
UUUUUCGGCGCAUUCUUGCAACUUCUUUUGUUUGCCCUUCACCUCCACAAUUGCCACAUGACACCUUGUACUUCUUUGAGUUUAUUUGAUCAAAUUUCUUAUAUCUUUCCUUGUGAGGUCUUCCUGGCUGCCUUUUAUCUCCAGCUGGUGGCUUCAUUACAUCAUCCAAAAUAUGUUGUGGAACAUCCCAUUUUGCUUCAUCAGGAAGAGGAUUAACUGGCAAUUCAUAUGUAA